CAGGGAGGUCCUCCAUCCGGCCUGUUCUGGGAGGCAGGAGGGUCUGGGUGUCCUCCCAAGCUUGCUGGGAGGCAAGAAGGAGGCCACUGAGCUCAGAGAGGGCAGGCACAGCCCAGCCUCCUGGUUCCCAGUUCAACAGUCUCAACUGGCCAUAAAUGGCAUGCUCCUUGCUCUGUCACACCCUCCCUGCCCAGCAGUGAUGAGUGCCAUUCCUGCCUAGUGGAGCAUUUACAGAGCGGCAGGAUCUGAGCAGUACUGACUGUCCCUCCAAGCCCACCCGCCAGGCCCAAAUCCCCUCUGUUCCUCCUGGGAGGCACCGUCCCAUCCUGCUGACAGACCUCAGCAACAGGUGCUCACUCUCUCUCUGGGCAACCCUUUCUGCUGUGGGCAUGCUGGGCUGUUCUCCAAGCUCUUCCUCACAUGCAGUGGGGCUCCCCAAAGCCCCAGCUCUGUGUCUGGCUCUGCAGGGUCCCUCCAGGCUGAGUCCCCAGCCCCUCCCUCCAGGCUCAUCUCCCUACCGCCUGGAGGAAUGUCUGCAGACACCGCAAGGCUGGUUCUCUGAGUUCUGGCAGCACCUCCACCCUGUGAUGUUGGGCAAACCCCUUGCCCUGAUCCAGCCUGUCUCCUCUGCAGAACUCCCGGAGCAAGAGGUGACCUCCAGGGACCCUUCCCCCUCUGACCUCAGUCUGAGGUGAGUUCUCUUAGGGAGGCCUCAAACCCUUAAUGAAAACCCUCACCAGAUGAAAAGGCUAAACAUUCCCUUCAACCAAACUGGGCUCAGGGGGCAGCAGGUCUAAUGAAUCCUGGCACUUCUUUGGCCCUUGGGGGAGCUACUUGAACUUUUAAUGAUGCUGGAGUAAGAACUCCUCCUGCAGACUCCUGGGGCCCUGGGAGCCCGGCUGCCUUCCCUAGGGAAGUUAAGGAGGGAAGUCUGUUGUGAGGAGGAGGAGGAGGAAGGCAAACAGGGGAUUUUCGUCCUCAGAACUUCUCCAGGAAGACUCCCACCCCACACCAGCCGCUGGCGGCGGGGCAGGACCUUACAACUAUGAACUUGAAGAACUUCAGUCAGCUCAAACGGCCCCUUGGAAUCACCCAGACUCAGCCUUCACUGACAGAUGGAGAAACUGAAGCCAGAGAAGGGAAACACUUGCCUAAGUUCUCCCAGCCUCGUGCGCUAAUCUAUACAGCAGGGUUGGGACUUCCUAGCCAAGGAAUGGGAGUUCUAGACCACACAGCUGAUGGGUAAGCUUUUUGAAACUCAUAUUAUUUAGCUUCGUGCCCAUACUUUCCAGGGUACACAGACUCAUGCACAUGCUUGUAAAUCAACAUUGCUCUGUGGGAAAACUUAUACACCAAUAACUGUGUGUGCACACGCUCAUGCAAAUAUGCACAGGUGAAUACAAGUUCCAGACAACUCACAAAUAUGUGCUUGUAGUAGCUGCAGGUGGUUCUUGGAAGUCCAGCCAUAGCAACCACAUUGUUUUCACUAAUUGGUGGCACCACCUAGUGGUGACACUGUAAAUAAAUCAGUUUUGUAUUCUGACCUGUCAAAAGUUACAGUAUCUGAUGGUUGUUUACAGAUCAUAAUUUGGACCCGUGCAUUUAAAUCCUCCCUAUUCCAAAUUCCUAUUGAAACAGACAAAGAGAUAAAAAUCCUAUUCCACUCUAGAAAUCAGUAAAAAAAAUCACAUUACUGGCCCAUAAACUUCAAGGAAUUUCAACAAGAUACAGUGCAAAUAGAACCAGGCUGAUGAGUAUAUUGACUAAAGAAGGACAUUCCUGGGAAAUAAUGGAGGAUACGCCCCAGGAGAGUCUCCCUAAAGCCCCGUAAUAGACAGCCAGGACUAGGAAAAAGGCUGAGAUGGGGAUAAGCGGGAAAAAAACUGAGCAACCUUGGGAAUUGCGAGUGCCUGCUCGCAGAGAAGGUGGCCAAGGCUCAGCUCCUCUUUUGGUUUGCACAGAAAAGCAAG
Molecule: long non-coding RNA, 1970 nt
Filed under: Homo sapiens (human)
Lineage: Eukaryota; Metazoa; Chordata; Mammalia; Primates; Hominidae
Description: HSALNT0148551
Source: RNAcentral